RNAcentral lists this ribosomal RNA (622 nucleotides) under Trichoderma harzianum. RNAcentral's name for it is "eukaryotic LSU rRNA". The stretch from base 236 to 389 matches the Rfam family "5.8S ribosomal RNA". Lineage: Eukaryota; Fungi; Ascomycota; Sordariomycetes; Hypocreales; Hypocreaceae. The record is from RNAcentral.
AAGGAUCUCGUUGGUGACCAGCGGAGGGUCAUUACCGAGUUUACAACUCCCAAACCCAAUGUGAACGUUACCAAACUGUUGCCUCGGCGGGAUCUCUGCCCCGGGUGCGUCGCAGCCCCGGACCAAGGCGCCCGCCGGAGGACCAACCAAAACUCUUAUUGUAUACCCCCUCGCGGGUUUUUUUAUAAUCUGAGCCUUCUCGGCGCCUCUCGUAGGCGUUUCGAAAAUGAAUCAAAACUUUCAACAACGGAUCUCUUGGUUCUGGCAUCGAUGAAGAACGCAGCGAAAUGCGAUAAGUAAUGUGAAUUGCAGAAUUCAGUGAAUCAUCGAAUCUUUGAACGCACAUUGCGCCCGCCAGUAUUCUGGCGGGCAUGCCUGUCCGAGCGUCAUUUCAACCCUCGAACCCCUCCGGGGGGUCGGCGUUGGGGAUCGGCCCUGCCUUGGCGGUGGCCGUCUCCGAAAUACAGUGGCGGUCUCGCCGCGGCCUCUCCUGCGCAGUAGUUUGCACACUCGCAUCGGGAGCGCGGCGCGUCCACAGCCGUUAAACACCCAACUUCUGAAAUGUUGACCUCGGAUCAGGUAGGAAUACCCGCUGAACUUAAGCAUAUCAAUAAGCGGAGGA